UACGGCCAUAUCGCUUUGAAUCCUCGUUUCCCGUAACGAUCACCGAAAUUAAGCUUCGUUGAGCAAGGUCAGGACCUAGAUCAGUGACUGCUUGGGAGCACCAUGUGCU
This 109-nucleotide ribosomal RNA is filed under the name Acanthosepion pharaonis. The record is from RNAcentral. Lineage: Eukaryota; Metazoa; Mollusca; Cephalopoda; Sepiida; Sepiidae.